This 336-nucleotide ribosomal RNA is filed under the name Triticum aestivum (bread wheat). RNAcentral's name for it is "partial small subunit ribosomal RNA". The record is from RNAcentral. Lineage: Eukaryota; Viridiplantae; Streptophyta; Magnoliopsida; Poales; Poaceae.
AUGAAUUCGCAAAAGAAUUUCAAUGCCUUGCUUGAAAAAUUGCUUAAAGUUGAUGAAUUGGCUAGGAACGUUGAUAGAAUUUCUUUUGAUGUUGAUUCUUUGAAACUUAGAUCUAUUCCUCCUAAGCAUGAUAUCAAUGAGUCUCUCAAAGCCAUGAGAAUUUCCAUUGAUGAGUGCAAAGAAAGAACCGCUAGGAGGCGUGCUAAGAAAGAUUGCUUUAUGAAAGCGUGUUCUUCAAAUUUCUAUGAAAAUAAAGAUGAAGAUCUCAAAGUUAUUCAUGUGUCCCCUAUUAAAUCUUUGUUUUGCAAUAUGAAUCUUGAUAAUGAUGGGACUUAA